RNAcentral lists this ribosomal RNA (251 nucleotides) under uncultured prokaryote. RNAcentral describes it as "partial 16S ribosomal RNA". It matches the Rfam family "Bacterial small subunit ribosomal RNA", at positions 524 to 774 of the family's 1533-position model. The record is from RNAcentral.
UACGGAGGAUGCAAGCGUUAUCCGGAUUCAUUGGGUUUAAAGGGUGCGUAGGCGGACUAUUAAGUCAGUGGUGAAAGCCUGCAGCUUAACUGCAGAACUGCCAUUGAUACUGAUAGUCUUGAGUUUGGUUAAGGUAGGCGGAAUGUGUAAUGUAGCGGUGAAAUGCUUAGAUAUUACACAGAACACCAAUUGCGUAGGCAGCUUACUGAGCCGACACUGACGCUGAGGCACGAAAGCGUGGGGAGCAAACA